RNAcentral lists this ribosomal RNA (528 nucleotides) under uncultured haloarchaeon. RNAcentral's name for it is "bacterial SSU rRNA". It matches the Rfam family "Archaeal small subunit ribosomal RNA", at positions 1 to 526 of the family's 1478-position model. The record is from RNAcentral. Lineage: Archaea; Methanobacteriati; Methanobacteriota; Halobacteria; Halobacteriales; Halobacteriaceae.
GCCCUUAUUCCGGUUGAUCCUGCCGGAGGACAUUGCUAUUGGGAUUCGAUUUAGCCAUGCUAGUCGAGCGAGUUUAGACUCGCGGCGAAUAGCUCAGUAACACGUGGCCAAGCUCCCCUUCAGUCAGCGAUACCCUCGGGAAACUGAGGUUAACAGCUGAUACAAAACGCCAGCUGGAAUGCGGCGUUUCAGAAAGACAUCGCUGAAGGAUGCGGCUGCGGCCGAUUAGGUAGACGGUGGGGUAACGGCCCACCGUGCCAGUAAUCGGUACGGGUGAUGAGAGUCAGAGCCCGGAGACGGAAUCUGAGACAAGAUUCCGGGCCCUACGGGGCGCAGCAGGCGCGAAACCUUUACACUGCACGGAAGUGCGAUAGGGGAAUCCCAAGUGCGAGGGCAUAUUAGCCCUCGCUUUUCUCGACUGUAAGGUGGUCGACGAAUAAGAGCUGGGCAAGACCGGUGCCAGCCGCCGCGGUAAUACCGGCAGCUCAAGUGAUGUCCCAUAUUAUUGGGCCUAAAGCGUCCGUAGCU